This is a long non-coding RNA of Triplophysa dalaica, 4556 nucleotides long. RefSeq lists it as uncharacterized. The transcript is spliced from 3 exons. The record is from RefSeq and is a predicted model, not a curated record. Lineage: Eukaryota; Metazoa; Chordata; Actinopteri; Cypriniformes; Nemacheilidae.
GCGGCGCAGACAGUGACACACGCAGGCAAGUCACAUCAAAAGUCAGGGCAUCAAAAACGGAAAGAAAGGAAGGAAAGAGAAGACAGAGAACGCCAAAGUCGACAGUAUGUCACACAGUUUUUCAAAAAGAAAGAAUCAGCGGCUGCUGCACACCCACGUCCUCCUUCCCCCACGUCCCCGUCUUAAUCAGCCGAACAAGCGUAUAUACUAAGACUCAUCAAGCAACCUUGGUAAGUUAGGAUUGCACUUCAUACCCGGUGAGUUAUGGCUUCUAUUCCUAUUGUUGUUACUUGCACCUCAUGUCAUAUGUUUAGUUUAGCCUUCUCUGUCAGCGGCGAGGGUUUUACAUGUGAUAAAUGCAGGGAAGUAGUUAGGCUGACGGAGAAGAUUUUAGAAUUAGAGUCUCGCAUCCAAUCUUUAUUUGAGGAUAGUAAGAGUGUAAGAACCGUAGAAAACACUUCGGAUGCGAGCAAUGUUAGCGCACACAGCUCGGUUCCGGUUGAAAAUCCCCUGCAGCUGGGAAACUUUGUGACGGUGAGACGGCAUAGUCGCAGGACAAAACAUCACUCAACCGUUCCGAUUAAAGUCUCGAACAGGUUUGCCCCGCUCAGUGACGCACCGACUGAGAAACCUGCUGAAAGUGCCCUAGUGAUCGGUGAUUCUAUUGUCCGGAACGUUAACAUAGAGACACCAGCCACAAUAGUCAAAUGUUUACCGGGAGCCAGAGCGCCUGACAUCAAGUCAAACUUAAAUGUGCUGGCUAAGGCUAAUCGUAAAUACAGUAAGAUUGUUAUUCAUGUCGGCACAAAUGAUGUUAGACUCCGUCAAUCGGAGAUCACUAAAGAUAAUAUUAAAGAGGUGUGUGAGCUCGCAAAAACGAUGUCAGACACUGUAAUAUUCUCUGGCCCCCUUACUGCUUACCGUGGUGAUGAGAUUUAUAGCAGAUUAUCAUCACUAAAUGGCUGGUUGUCUGAGUGGUGCCUGCAGAAUAAUAUAGAUUUUAUAAAUAACUGGAAGAGUUUUGAGGGCAGACCUGACCUGUUGAAACGAGAUGGUCUCCAUCCCUCCUGGGAUGGGGUUUCCCUCCUCUCUAGAAAUUUGGCACACAGUCUUAAUAAUGCUAAAGUCUGACUACCUAGGGCCCAGGUCAGGAAGGAGACAGAAUGGCUUAACCAACUGUCUGCUUGCCGUCUCGCGUUACAGAAUACACAAAAUAUACAACAUGUAAUAAUCCCUUCUUACAAACAACAUAAAAUAGAGACUGUGUCUGUCCCCCGGAUUAGCAAACAUAAGAUAUUGCGUAAACCUCUUGAAAGUAAUUUAAUAAACGUUAAACAAAUCAAACAUGAACAAAAUACAGAUAAUCAGCUGUUACGACUCGGAUUGCUUAAUAUUAGAUCUCUCUCAAAUAAAGCACUUUUUGUUAACGAUUUGAUAACCGAUCAUAAAAUAGACAUGCUUUGUUUGACAGAAACAUGGCUAAAGCCAGAUGAUUUUAUUACUCUAAAUGAAUCCGUUCCCCAUGAUUAUUACUAUAAACACGAGCCUCGUCUAAAAGGUAGAGGGGGAGGUGUCGCUGCACUUUACAAGAAUUCUUUUAUUACCUCUCAGAAGUCUAAUUUUAAGUACAAUUCUUUCGAAGUCAUGGUACUUCACGUAUCGACACCUAAUACUAAGGACAAAACAUUUUUAAAAUUUAUUCUAGCUAUUGUAUAUAGGCCUCCAGGGCACCACACAGAUUUUAUUAAAGAUUUUGGUGGGUUCUUAUCAGAACUAGUACUGGCCGCAGAUAGAGUCCUUGUCGUCGGUGACUUUAAUAUCCAUGUAGACAAUGAUACAGAUGCCUUGGGACUGGCUUUCAAAGACACUCUUAACUCCAUGGGCGUUAGUCAACAUGUGUCAGGACCCACUCACCUUCGUAAUCAUACUUUAGAUUUAAUACUUUCUUAUGGUAUAAAUGUGGACGAUGUUAAAAUCGUUCAGCAGAGUGAAGAUAUUUCGGAUCAUUAUCUGAUAUUAUGUUUGCUUCAAUGGCCUACGGCUGCAAAUCAAACUCCUUGUUACAAAUAUGGUAGAACGAUUACUUCAACUACCAAAGAUGCGUUUCUCGAUAAUCUGCCUGAAUUGUCUAAAAUAUCCAGCAUGAGUAAUAACGUUGACGAUUUUGACACUACUAUUGAAAAUUUUAACUCUACUUUCUCGGAAAUAUUAGACACAGUUGCUCCUCUGCGUUUAAAGAAAAUUAAAAAUAGCGCCCAACACCGUGGUAUAAUGAACACACUCAGACUCUAAAAAAAGCAUCCCGUAAAAUGGAGCGCAACUUUAAGAAAACGAAUUUAGAGGUAUUUCGUAUAGCAUGGAAGGAUAGUACUCGAAAUUACAGGAAUGCAAUAAAAACGUCUAGAUCCGCCUACUUUUCAACACUAAUAGAGGAAAACCAUCACAACCCUAGGUUCUUAUUUAACACCGUGGCUAAAUUAACAAAAAAUAAGUCGUCAUCGACGUCAGAUUCUGAUUAUCAGCAUAACAGUGAUGAAUUUAUGAACUACUUCACAAGUAAAAUCCAAGAUAUAAGAGAAAAAAUUAUAACAAUGCAACCUGUAGUGAAAUCCGCUGAACAAACUAACUACAGCACCCCUAAGGAGAAAUUGCAAUUAUUUUCUACAGUAGAUCACGAUGAACUGUCUAAAAUCAUUAAAUCAUCUAAAUCAUCAACAUGCAUGCUAGACCCUAUACCUACAAAACUACUGAAAGAAAUGCUCCCCGAAAUUAUAGAUCCUCUUCUUAGUAUUAUUAACUCAUCUCUGACAUUAGGACAUGUGCCUAAAGCAUUUAAGGUGGCUGUUAUAAGGCCUCUUUUAAAAAAAACCAAACUCGACCCCAAAGAACUAGGGAAUUACAGGCCUAUAUCGAAUUUACCUUUUAUAUCUAAAGUUCUGGAAAAAGUAGUUUCAACUCAAUUAUGCUCCUUCCUCCAAAGGAAUGACAUUAAUGAUGAAUUCCAGUCUGGAUUUCGAGCAUGUCACAGUACAGAGACUGCUUUGAUCAGAGUUACAAAUGAUCUGCUUUUAGCGUCUGACCGUGGCUGUAUUUCGUUAUUGGUGCUGCUAGACCUCAGUGCUGCAUUUGACACCAUUGACCACAUCAGAGAAAUUAAUUCAUGCAUUCAGGACAUCAAGACUAGAUUACUGUAAUGCACUUCUAGGUGGUUGCCCUGCGGGCCUAUUACAAAAACUGCAACUGGUUCAAAACGCGGCAGCUCGAGUUCUUACACGUACAAAAAAGUAUGAGCAUAUAACCCCGGUUCUGUCAACCUUGCACUGGUUACCUAUAAAGCAUCGCAUUAACUUUAAGAUCUUGCUUAUUACCUAUAAAGCCCUACAUGGUCUAGCGCCGCAGUAUUUGAAUGAACUUCUAUUGUAUUACAGACCACCACGUACAUUACGUUCUAAGGGGUCCUGUCAGUUGGUAAUACCUAGAAUUUCAAAAUCAAGUGCAGGUGGUAGAUCCUUUUCUUAUCUAGCGCCUAAACUUUGGAAUAUUCUUCCCUGCACGGUCCGGGAGGCAGACACACUCUGUCAGUUUAAAUCUAGACUAAAGACUCAUCUUUUUAAUCUUGCAUACACUACACCUCCAUAAUAUUAAUCCUCAGAGGAUUUAGGCUGCAUUAUUUAGAUCAACCGGAACCAGGAACACAUCCAACAACAAAUGAUGUACUUGUUGCAUCAAAGAGUGCAGAACACUACUCUACUCUCAGCCAGUCUUGUCUCUUUGUUCCAAGGUUACCGCAGGAUGCAGUUCAUGCCCAGACCUGAUGGCAGAGCUGAGAAUGGGAAGCGGUGACCUGACAAGUGCUAAGAGGAUAGAGCUGGAUAAAGGACGCGACAACUUUGUUUUUUUCUACAACAUUUCAAAUGCUAUUAGAUUGUUAAUGAUAAUCUUUAAUUUUUAUAUUUUUAUUAAGCCUUGUUGUGCAAGCACUGAUGAGCUUGUGCAGAGGCAGCAGCUUUUGCCAGAGGGGAACUGGAAUCCCCUGGUUGGGCCUGGGUUCCCCUGAGGUUUUUUUUCUCGAUGGGAGUUUUGGGUUCCUCACCACCGUUUGCAUAUUGUUUUGCACUAUCUGCCUGGCCGGGGGGGCUGCUUUAGAAUUCAUACUUGUAUUAAAUGUGUCUCAUGUACAGCUGCUUUGUAACAAUGAAAAUUGUAAAAAGCGCUAUAUAAAUAAAGUUGAGUUGAGUUGAGUUUAGGGAUUUUGUCUGUCCUGCAGAGGGAUAUUUUGUUGAUCUGGACUGUGUCAGGAUUUUAGUAAUAUACAGUGCAUUAGAUAACAAAAAACGGUUUCCAACAGUACAGUAUCGUGUUGUAGAUAUGUGAUACUGUCAGCAUUUGAAACCUAACACAUAGAACUGAAAAAGUAUUUAAAUGAAAUAUAUAGUAUGUCACUCACGUUGGAAACACACAGGCAAACAGGGUUAUCAUGAAGUACUGCUUAAUUACAUCCUUAGUGUUGCAUAAUUUUUAUUUUUUUAUUUCAAAUUGUUCCACUCAUAUCAAGC